This 467-nucleotide ribosomal RNA is filed under the name uncultured bacterium. RNAcentral describes it as "partial 16S ribosomal RNA". It matches the Rfam family "Bacterial small subunit ribosomal RNA", at positions 30 to 507 of the family's 1533-position model. The record is from RNAcentral.
AGUGAACGCUGGCGGUAGGCCUAACACAUGCAAGUCGAACGGCGGCACAGUAAGAGCUUGCUCUUACGGGUGGCGAGUGGCGGACGGGUGAGGAAUACAUCGGAAUCUACUUUUUCGUGGGGGAUAACGUAGGGAAACUUACGCUAAUACCGCAUACGACCUACGGGUGAAAGCAGGGGAUCUUCGGACCUUGCGCGAUUGAAUGAGCCGAUGUCGGAUUAGCUAGUUGGCGGGGUAAAGGCCCACCAAGGCGACGAUCCGUAGCUGGUCUGAGAGGAUGAUCAGGCACAAUGGGACGGAGAGACGGACGAGAUGGGUACGGGAGGGAGAAGUGGGGAAUAGUUGUAAAUGGGAGAAAGAAUGAUACAGAAAUGACGCGUGAGUGAUGAAGGCAUAAGGGUUGUAAAGCCAGUUGACACGGGAUGAGAAUGACGGGAGAGGGAAAAUAAGCGCAGGCUAACUCCGUG